RNAcentral lists this ribosomal RNA (466 nucleotides) under uncultured bacterium. RNAcentral's name for it is "partial 16S ribosomal RNA". It matches the Rfam family "Bacterial small subunit ribosomal RNA", at positions 28 to 507 of the family's 1533-position model. The record is from RNAcentral.
GAUGAACGCUGGCGGCGUGCUUAACACAUGCAAGUCGAACGAUGAAGCCCAGCUUGCUGGGUGGAUUAGUGGCGAACGGGUGAGUAACACGUGAGUAACCUGCCCUUGACUCUGGGAUAAGCCUGGGGAACUGGGUCUAAUACUGGAUAUGACUUCUCAUCGCAUGGUGGGGGGUGGAAAGAUUUAUUGGUCUUGGAUGGACUCGCGGCCUAUCAGCUUGUUGGUGAGGUAAUGGCUCACCAAGGCGACGACGGGUAGCCGGCCUGAGAGGGUGACCGGCCACACUGGGACUGAGACACGGCCCAGACUCCUACGGGAGGCAGCAGUGGGGAAUAUUGCACAAUGGGCGCAAGCCUGAUGCAGCGACGCCGCGUGAGGGAUGACGGCCUUCGGGUUGUAAACCUCUUUCAGUAGGGAAGAAGCGAGAGUGACGGUACCUGCAGAAGAAGCGCCGGCUAACUACGUG